RNAcentral lists this long non-coding RNA (585 nucleotides) under Coturnix japonica (Japanese quail). RNAcentral's name for it is "lncRNA (ENSCJPG00005014652.1)". The record is from RNAcentral. Lineage: Eukaryota; Metazoa; Chordata; Aves; Galliformes; Phasianidae.
ACCACAGUCCUUCUGAUUUCAAGUUACCUCCACCUGUGUGACCUACCAGGUGUAGGACUGCAUCCUCCCCAAAGGCCUAAUUCAUUUCACCUGUGGCAAUCCAUAAAUAAAGGCACUUGUUUGUGCCUAUUGGGCUCUUUCUCUGUAGGCUGCAGCUUAGGCCUUGUUUCCUUAGUGCUGCUGAGGGAGCACGGCUGCAGCCAUUUAUGUGGGUACUGCUCUUUUGACUUCAGCUUCACUCAUGGAAAUGGCACUGAACGUGCCUAAAGGAUGGGAGGACAGACCCUGUCAUGCUGCUGCCACUCGUGUUGCUUUCACUGUGCUCACCCCUUCUGUCUUCAUGUCACCUUGUGGUAGCCUUUUGCAAAACCCUUAUCUCAUAAGAUUUCUGUCAAGGCUGGCUCAAAACCAGCAUUUCCAUCCAUGUCUAUUGAAGUUCCAUCUGCACACUGAAGCUGCCUGUGGAACACUGGGGACAACGCACUGAUGAGCACAGCUUCCAUCCCCAGUGAGAUGGCAGAGUUCUUCUAAGGAAUUAAAAAACAAAGCAGAUGAAUAAAAUGUGGUCCUUACGGGAAAUGCCCA